Non-coding RNA from Equus caballus (horse), 1171 nucleotides. The record is from RefSeq and is a predicted model, not a curated record. NCBI's taxonomy places the organism in Eukaryota, Metazoa, Chordata, Mammalia, Perissodactyla, Equidae.
UAGGAAGAUUAGCACAGAUGUUAGCUCAGGGUGAAUCUUCACCAAGCGAAAAGAGGAAGAUUGACAACGGAUGUUGGCUUAGGAUAAAUUUUCUUCAACAAAACAAACAAACAAAUAAAAAAACCCUACAGAAUCGCCAAUAACUGAUUUGGGUGACAUUUGCUUCUUUCUCCUAGAAGGAAAGUGUAGCAGGAAAAAGAAAUCCAAUUAGAAUUUGUAGAGUAACUGGCACAUUUCCAGUAAAUGUCUACUGAAUAACUGAUGGUGCCAGUUAAAGGUGCUAUUCCAUGUGGCAAAUAUGUUGAUGAAAAAGGAAAUUAAAACUUCAACCUGGAGGAAAGUAAUAUAUUGACUUGUUGAUAGAUAUUUUUCGAUAUAUACUUUAAAAUGACAACUUAUACAAUUAUGUUGUAAACUCCUUGAAAUCAGUUACCAAGGUUCUUGGUCCUCUAUUUCUUGCACAGGCUUAACUCAGAAAGUACUUCAUCCAGGUUUGCUGAAUAAUUGGACAGAAUAAUGAGUGAGCCUACGGACAGACCACCUAAAUUCAGCUUCUGCUGAAUUUAAAUUACUGUUUCAGAACUCAGAUAAAAUUGACAGAGAGCUCUGAGGUUUUAUUUUUCUUUGUUUCAUUCAGUAAAUACUUAUUGAAGGACACUAUUUGCAUAGAGUGGUGAAGGAGGUAGGCUUAGCUCUCUCUCUCCUGGGGGUUAUAUUCUAAUAGGGAGAAAGAAAAUAAAUGUAUUCACAAACAAAUAAUCCACUGUGGGACUUAUUAUAAAGGAGACAAGCAGAUUUCUAUGAUUGGGAAGGCCUCUCUGAGGAAGUGACAUUUACACUGAGAGUCCAGUUAGAAGAGAAGUGAGGAGCAGGUCUGAAGGCUCUCAAGAUUUUGGAGUGCAUGAGGAACUGAAAUAAGACCAGAGUAGCUGGGGCAUAAUGAGCUCUUGGCAGGAGCAAGCGAGGAGAAGCAGACAGAUCAUGCAAGGUCUGAGAGUCUCCUGUACGUCCUACCCCAGCCUCCAACGACUCAGCCUCACACCCCACCAUCACCAUCACCACUUCUCAGCCCUCCAGGGUGUUUGCUGUCUUCUUGAUUCUGGUAAGUGAACCCACAUGGUACAGACAUUACUCCUACUUUACAUAGGCUGUGUAUUUAUCGUAUCAUUCC